RNAcentral lists this ribosomal RNA (398 nucleotides) under uncultured bacterium. RNAcentral's name for it is "bacterial SSU rRNA". It matches the Rfam family "Bacterial small subunit ribosomal RNA", at positions 976 to 1380 of the family's 1533-position model. The record is from RNAcentral.
AGGCCUUGACAUGGGAAGCGAAGACUUAGAGAUAAGUUGGAGGAUAUCUUCCACACAGGUGGUGCAUGGUUGUCGUCAGCUCGUGUCGUGAGAUGUUCAGUUAAGUCUGGCAACGAGCGCAACCCUCGUGAUAUGUUGCUAACAUCCAGUUGAGGACUCAUAUCAGACUGCCGGUGUCAAACCGGAGGAAGGCGGGGAUGACGUCAAAUCAUCAUGCCCCUUAUGGCCUGGGCUACACACGUACUACAAUGGCGUCUACAGCAGGAAGCAAGCCAGUGAUGGCAAGCAAAGCGGCAAAGGGCGUCCCAGUUCGGAUUGAAGUCUGCAACCCGACUUCAUGAAGAUGGAAUCGCUAGUAAUCGCGGAUCAGCAUGCCGCGGUGAAUACGUUCCCGGGCC